UGAGGAAUAUUGGUCAAUGGGCGAGAGCCUGAACCAGCCAAGUAGCGUGCAGGAUGACGGCCCUAUGGGUUGUAAACUGCUUUUAUAUGGGAAUAAAGUGAGGGACGUGUCCCUUAUUGCAUGUACCAUAUGAAUAAGGACCGGCUAAUUCCGUGCCAGCAGCCGCGGUAAUACGGUAGGUCCAGGCGUUAUCCGGAUUUAUUGGGUUUAAAGGGAGCGUAGGCGGUUUGUUAAGCGUGUUGUGAAAUGUAAGAGCUCAACUUUUAGAUUGCAGCGCGAACUGGCAGACUUGAGUGCGCACAACGUAGGCGGAAUUCAUGGUGUAGCGGUGAAAUGCUUAGAUAUCAUGACGAACUCCGAUUGCGAAGGCAGCUUACGGGAGCGCAACUGACGCUAAAGCUCGAAGGUGCGGGUAUCGAACAGG
Molecule: ribosomal RNA, 424 nt
Filed under: Verrucomicrobiota bacterium
Lineage: Bacteria; Pseudomonadati; Verrucomicrobiota
Description: Verrucomicrobia bacterium partial 16S ribosomal RNA
Rfam family: Bacterial small subunit ribosomal RNA
Source: RNAcentral